This 877-nucleotide long non-coding RNA is filed under the name Triticum aestivum (bread wheat). Its description in RNAcentral is "long non-coding RNA (TAES_LNC006779)". Lineage: Eukaryota; Viridiplantae; Streptophyta; Magnoliopsida; Poales; Poaceae. The record is from RNAcentral.
GUGUGAGUCGUCCUUCUUCUCCCCAGCGCCCAGCCGUGCGCACGAGUUCUCGGCCGGCGAGUUCGCAAUGGCGACCUCCUGCGCCCCGGCCUCGACCUCUUGCGCCCCGGCCUCGGCCUCCCCUUGCUGCUCACCUACAUCGGCGCCGGCGAGGUGAAGAGGAGGCGCGACGGCGGCCCGCGUAGGCGUGGUGAGGGAGGGCGCCUCGCUGCGGCCGCAGCUGCGCGUCGACGAGCCAAAUCCACAAACUGUGGGCAUGGAGGUGCGGUCCAUAUGCUUGAUGAUGAACUCCGCUGCCGCCGGUGCCCUCCAUAUCUCUCCAGUAUAUCCCUCCGACGAGCCAAAUCUUUCUGAUGUGUGCCGCCGCCAGCAGGAACCACGCCGUCAAGCUCAUCUAGGGCCGCCCGAUGCUCAAGCCGCCGCCGCCGCCGGAGCUCCAUUGCUCCGCCGUUCUAACCGACAACGCCGCCGUAUCCACGCCAUUCUGCAGCCCGUCCUCGACCACGCCGGAGCUCCCCUAUGCCCCGCCGCCAGAGCAAGCAGCAGCUGCGGCGACACGCACGGGGAGGGAGUGCCCGCCGGCGUCCACCAUCGGAUCCGGGGGAGAUGAAGUGACCAAGGACCCGAUUGCUUUUUAUUCAGGGGCCCUUCUGCAAAAUAAGUUGUAUCGGGAUGUAAUUGCUUUUUUUCUUUGCCAUGUCAUCAUGUUCAGUGGGACCCACCUGUCAUAAUCGUAUUCAAAACCACCUAAGUGGGUGAUUAGUGUUUUUUGCAAAAAAAAAUAGCCUCGGAAUUAGUGGUUUUUGGCACAAAACCGUAGAAAUGUGGUUUCUACAACCCUAGCCUUCAAUAUCGAUGUUUUCUGCAAUUCACUCAG